This 1243-nucleotide ribosomal RNA is filed under the name Chaetoceros neogracilis. RNAcentral's name for it is "partial Bacterial large subunit ribosomal RNA". It matches the Rfam family "Bacterial large subunit ribosomal RNA", at positions 454 to 1752 of the family's 2925-position model. Lineage: Eukaryota; Bacillariophyta; Thalassiosirophyceae; Chaetocerotales; Chaetocerotaceae. The record is from RNAcentral.
CACCUUCGAAGGCUAAGUACUCCUGACUGACCGAUAGUGAACCAGUACCGUGAGGGAAAGGUGAAAAGCACCCCGACGAGGGGAGUGAAACAGUUUCUGAAACCGGACGCCUACAAUCAGUCGGAGGCUCCUUGAGAGCUGACGGCGUACCUUUUGUAUAAUGGGUCAGCGACUUAUGUUCAGUGGCGAGGUUAACCGUUUAGGGGAGCCGUAGGGAAACCGAGUCUGAAUAGGGCGAUUUAGUCGCUGGGCAUAGACCCGAAACCGGGCGAUCUAUCCAUGAGCAGGUUGAAGGUGCCGUAACAGGCACUGGAGGACCGAACCCACCUAUGUUGAAAAAUGGGGGGAUGAGCUGUGGCUCGGAGUGAAAGGCUAAUCAAGCCCGGAGAUAGCUGGUUCUCCUCGAAAACUAUUUAGGUAGUGCCUCGCGUUUGACUGCUGGGGGUAGAGCACUGUGUCGGCUAGGGGGUCAUCCCGACUUACCAACCCGAUGCAAACUCCGAAUACCAGUAAGUUUUAUCGCGGGAGACAGACGGCGGGUGCUAACGUCCGUCGUCAAGAGGGCAACAACCCAGACCACCAGCUAAGGUCCCUAAUAUCAGUUAAGUGGGAAACGAUGUGGGAAGGCUUAGACAGCUAGGAGGUUGGCUUAGAAGCAGCCAUCCUUUAAAGAUAGCGUAACAGCUCACUGGUCUAAAUAAGCUGUCUUGCGGCGAAGAUGUAACGGGGCUCAAGCCAUGAGCCGAAGCUGAGGAUGCACAUAGUGCAUGGUAGCGGAGCGUAGUGUGACAUAGUUCCAUGCGUCUUUAGCCUUCUUCGGAAGGCGUUGGACGCAAGGAGCUUUCAGUGAAGCGGGCGCGUGAGCGAUCCCGUGGAGAGAUCACUAGUGAGAAUGAUGACAUGAGUAGCGACAAACAGGGUGAGAGACCCUGUCGCCGAAAGUCCAAGGGUUCCUGCUUAAAGCUAAUCUGAGCAGGGUAAGCCGGCCCCUAAGUCGAGGCAGAAAUGCGUAGACGAUGGGAACCACGUUAAUAUUCGUGGGCCAGGAGGAUGUGACGGAUCAUGAAGGUUGUUCACUCUUAUUGGAUUGAGUGGGCCGCUAAUUGGUUCCUGGAAAUAGCCCUCCAUCAGACCGUACCCUAAACCAACACAGGUGGACUGGUAGAGAAUACCAAGGCGCUUGAGAGAACUAUCUUGAAGGAACUCGGCAAAAUACCUCCGUAAGUUCGCGAGAAGGAGGCCC